Molecule: transfer RNA, 52 nt
Filed under: Apocrypta bakeri
Lineage: Eukaryota; Metazoa; Arthropoda; Insecta; Hymenoptera; Pteromalidae
Description: tRNA-Trp
Source: RNAcentral
AAAAUUUUAAGUUAAUAAAACUUUAAACCUUCAAAGUUUAAUAUAUAUAUUA